This 523-nucleotide ribosomal RNA is filed under the name uncultured bacterium. RNAcentral's name for it is "bacterial SSU rRNA". It matches the Rfam family "Bacterial small subunit ribosomal RNA", at positions 355 to 873 of the family's 1533-position model. The record is from RNAcentral.
CUAAGAAUAUUCCGCAAUGGACGAAAGUCUGACGGAGCGACGCCGCGUGGAUGAUGAAGGCCGAAAGGUUGUAAAGUCCUUUUGCUGGGGAAGAAUAAGUGUGGGAGGGAAUGCCCGCAUGAUGACAUGAACCGGCGAAUAAGCCCCGGCCAACUACGUGCCAGCAGCCGCGGUAACACGUAGGGGGCGAGCGUUGUUCGGAAUUACUGGGCGUAAAGGGCAUGUAGGCGGUCUGGUAAGCCUGGCGUGAAAGGCCACAGCUCAACUGUGGGAUUGCGUUGGGAACUGCUGGGCUUGAGUUAUGGAGAGGGAGCUAGAAUUCCUGGUGUAGGGGUGAAAUCUGUAGAUAUCAGGAAGAAUACCGAUGGCGAAGGCAAGCUCCUGGCCGAUGACUGACGCUGAGGUGCGAAAGUGUGGGGAUCAAACAGGAUUAGAUACCCUGGUAGUCCACACUGUAAACGAUGUGCACUAGGUGCUGGGGCGGUAGCUUCAGUGCCGGAGCGAACGUGGUAAGKGCMCCGCC